UUGGAGGGCAAGUCUGGUGCCAGCAGCCGCGGUAAUUCCAGCUCCAAUAGCGUAUAUUAAAGUUGUUGCAGUUAAAAAGCUCGUAGUUGAAUUUCGAGACCGGCUUACUGGUCGUGCUAUUGUACGUACUGGUAUAAUCGGUUUCUCCUUUCUGACGAACUAUAAUGCCAUUAAUUUGGUGUUAUAGGGAAUCAGGACUGUUACUUUGAAAAAAUUAGAGUGUUUAAAGCAGGCUCACGCUUGAAUACAUUAGCAUGGAAUAACGGAAUAGGACGUUUGAUUCUAUUUUGUUGGUUUCUAGGAUCGACGUAAUGAUUAAUAGGGAUAGUUGGGGGCAUUAGUAUUCAAUUGUCAGAGGUGAAAUUCUUGGAUUUAUUGAAGACUAACUACUGCGAAAGCAUUUGCCAAGGAUGUUUUCGUUAAUCAAGAACGAAAGUUAGGGGAUCGAAGACGAUCAGAUACCGUCGUAGUCUUAACCAUAAACUAUGCCGACUAGGGAUCGGAUGAUGUUGAUUUUUUAAUGACUCAUUCGGCGCCUUACGGGAAAC
This 548-nucleotide ribosomal RNA is filed under the name uncultured Glomus. RNAcentral describes it as "SSU rRNA". It matches the Rfam family "Eukaryotic small subunit ribosomal RNA", at positions 548 to 1098 of the family's 1831-position model. Lineage: Eukaryota; Fungi; Glomeromycota; Glomeromycetes; Glomerales; Glomeraceae. The record is from RNAcentral.